AGGUAUCAAGUCGUUGUAGCAGGAUUCUUAGCGGUUGGUUGGUCAGGACCGCAACUAAAUGCACUUGGAAAUAAGGUCUCAAUCACUGCACUAAGUUGAUGAGAGCAUAGACCAUCUUUUUUGUCCGAGAGUAUUUCAUCUCGACGUCAUGCAGAACUUAGCUUAUAUAGUAGAUCGGGUUUUGCACUCUCUCUUCAUCUUCUCAG
Molecule: long non-coding RNA, 206 nt
Filed under: Elaeis guineensis (African oil palm)
Lineage: Eukaryota; Viridiplantae; Streptophyta; Magnoliopsida; Arecales; Arecaceae
Description: long non-coding RNA (EGUI_LNC009202)
Source: RNAcentral